CCUACGGGUGGCAGCAGUGGGGAAUAUUGGGCAAUGGGCGCAAGCCUGACCCAGCAACGCCGCGUGAAGGAAGACGGCUUUCGGGUUGUAAACUUCUUUUAGGCAGGAAGAGCAGAAGCCGGUACCUCUUGAAUAAGCCACGGCUAACUACGUGCCAGCAGCCGCGGUAAUACGUAGGUGGCAAGCUUUGUCCGGAUUUACUGGGUGUAAAGGGCGUGUAGCCGGGAGGACAAGGCAUAGGUGAAAUCCGGGGGCUCAACGCCCGAACUGCCAUUGAAACUGUUGGGCUUGAGUAUGGGAGAGGUAGGCGGAAUGCGUAGUGUAGCGGUGAAAUGCGUAGAUAUUAGGAGGAACACCAGUGGCGAAGGCGGCCUGCUGGACCACAACUGACGGUGAGGCGCGAAAGCGUGGGGAGCAAACAGGAUUAGAUACCCGAGUAGUC
This 442-nucleotide ribosomal RNA is filed under the name uncultured bacterium. Its description in RNAcentral is "partial 16S ribosomal RNA". It matches the Rfam family "Bacterial small subunit ribosomal RNA", at positions 338 to 795 of the family's 1533-position model. The record is from RNAcentral.